CCCAGCGGCGCGUUAGCGAGGAAGUCCCUGGCGAUGGGUUUGACCCACAGGAUCACCACCACCACCGGAGAUAGGAAGCUCAUGUGCAGCAGAAUCCUGCAGGAGGCGUUCAAGUUAAUGCUCUGGUUUUCGACAUACUGUUGUCAAAUGCUUUAAACCACGCACUGGAUGAGGGGGCGUUCCGAGUUCAUCUGCACUGCAUCCAGUAUUCUGGACAUCUGUGUUGGUGAAUCUGUUGCAAUUUGUUCAUUGCAUUAUGGAGAAAGAAGCUGAGCAAGCAAAGAAGAAAGUUGUCGGUGCGAAGUGUCUAUUUUGCGAGGGAAGUCAGCAACAACACGUACACAGCCGGCGCUUCUUUGUUUACAUUCCCGAAAGAUGCAGUCAAGAUGGAAGAACUCGGACAACAGAGACUCUUACCAGGAGGACUUUGAUUUGGAUACACAGUUGCGAUAACGAUACAGUGCGAAGAUAACGGUGAGGACACACCAGAUGGCGCCGAUGUUUACCUCCUUGCUGGCGUCCACCACACUGCAGUAACACUCUGUGAAAAGGAAGACGCCGAUGGCGUAAACAGAAAAGUCCACCAGCCACUGGUACUCCAGGAAGAAACGCAACACUAAGGAAAAUAAGAAGAAAAACUGCUACUUGUGUUUGUUGAAGUGACAUUAUAGGCUACAGUGUAAAUAACAAGUGUUAGUCCAACCGAGGGCAUCGAUGGCGUUGACUGGUGCUUUUUCCAAGUGGAGGUCGAUGUCUUUUGGCACAGUGAGAGGUUUGUUUUCUCCAUUUUGUCUCCUGGUGAAAAAAACAUGACUUUUUAAAAGAUCCAUAUGCAUUUAAAAAAAGGUCCCAUGUUAUGCAAAAGUGACUUUUUAAUAAUGUUCUUUGAACAGUAAUGGCUUUAGAGCCUCUGACCCACCUAACUAGAUGAGCCUACCACUUAAGCUUUCUAAAAAAAAAAAAAGAAUACUAGUUUUCCUGAACAUAGGCCUGACAUUGGAAGCACAUUUAGGAAUUUUCCUAAAGUACCAGUAGAGUGGAAAAACAUGUUGUCUCUAUAUUGAAGCUAUUAUAAUAUAUAUCUGA
Molecule: long non-coding RNA, 1086 nt
Organism: Entelurus aequoreus (snake pipefish)
Lineage: Eukaryota; Metazoa; Chordata; Actinopteri; Syngnathiformes; Syngnathidae
Exons: 3
Source: RefSeq, a predicted model, not a curated record